Molecule: non-coding RNA, 250 nt
Organism: Leptonychotes weddellii (Weddell seal)
Lineage: Eukaryota; Metazoa; Chordata; Mammalia; Carnivora; Phocidae
Source: RefSeq, a predicted model, not a curated record
CACCAGGAAACGUACCAGAUAGUUUGGUGUGAAGAUAGAAUCGUUCCUACUUGGAUAAACAUAUCUGUUGCAUUAUUAAAAUCCAUUCGUCUCUGCAUUCUAAAUAGGAACCAUAUCAGAAGAUUACAAACCUUGACCCUGAAAGUAUAAACAGUGUGGUAACAUGUGUACAAGAAAAUGUGUUACACCCUUCGAAGAGAAACUCAAGAGAAUCCUUGUGGAGACCAGAAAGGUUUUGUAAUGCUUCAGG